RNAcentral lists this ribosomal RNA (505 nucleotides) under uncultured bacterium. RNAcentral's name for it is "partial 16S ribosomal RNA". It matches the Rfam family "Bacterial small subunit ribosomal RNA", at positions 28 to 507 of the family's 1533-position model. The record is from RNAcentral.
GACGAACGCUGGCGGCGUGCCUAAUACAUGCAAGUAGAACGCACAGUUUAUACCGUAGCUUGCUACACCAUAGACUGUGAGUUGCGAACGGGUGAGUAACGCGUAGGUAACCUGCCUGGUAGCGGGGGAUAACUAUUGGAAGCGAUAGCUAAUACCGCAUAAUAUUGAUUAUUGCAUGAUAAUUAAUUGAAAGGUGCAAUUGCACCACUACCAGAUGGACCUGCGUUGUAUUAGCUAGUAGGUGAGGUAACGGCUCACCUAGGCGACGAUACAUAGCCGACCUGAGAGGGUGAUCGGCCACACUGGGACUGAGACACGGCCCAGACUCCUACGGGAGGCAGCAGUAGGGAAUCUUCGGCAAUGGACGAAAGUCUGACCGAGCAACGCCGCGUGAGUGAAGAAGGUUUUCGGAUCGUAAAGCUCUGUUGUAAGAGAAGAACGGGUGUGAGAGUGGAAAGUUCACACUGUGACGGUAUCUUACCAGAAAGGGACGGCUAACUACGUG